Molecule: ribosomal RNA, 564 nt
Filed under: Streptomyces sp.
Lineage: Bacteria; Bacillati; Actinomycetota; Actinomycetes; Kitasatosporales; Streptomycetaceae
Description: bacterial SSU rRNA
Rfam family: Bacterial small subunit ribosomal RNA
Source: RNAcentral
CACACUGGGAGCUGAGACACGGCCCAGACUCCUACGGGAGGCAGCAGUGGGGAAUAUUGCACAAUGGGCGAAAGCCUGAUGCAGCGACGCCGCGUGAGGGAUGACGGCCUUCGGGUUGUAAACCUCUUUCAGCAGGGAAGAAGCGAAAGUGACGGUACCUGCAGAAGAAGCGCCGGCUAACUACGUGCCAGCAGCCGCGGUAAUACGUAGGGCGCAAGCGUUGUCCGGAAUUAUUGGGCGUAAAGAGCUCGUAGGCGGCUUGUCGCGUCGGAUGUGAAAGCCCGGGGCUUAACCCCGGGUCUGCAUUCGAUACGGGCAGGCUAGAGUUCGGUAGGGGAGAUCGGAAUUCCUGGUGUAGCGGUGAAAUGCGCAGAUAUCAGGAGGAACACCGGUGGCGAAGGCGGAUCUCUGGGCCGAUACUGACGCUGAGGAGCGAAAGCGUGGGGAGCGAACAGGAUUAGAUACCCUGGUAGUCCACGCCGUAAACGUUGGGAACUAGGUGUGGGCGACAUUCCACGUCGUCCGUGCCGCAGCUAACGCAUUAAGUUCCCCGCCUGGGGGAGU